Molecule: RNA transcript, 375 nt
Organism: Asparagus officinalis (garden asparagus)
Lineage: Eukaryota; Viridiplantae; Streptophyta; Magnoliopsida; Asparagales; Asparagaceae
Gene name: transcription factor BIM1-like
Exons: 3
Source: RefSeq, a predicted model, not a curated record
AAACCCCGACUCCUCUCUUUUUCCUCUCUCACGCUCGUGUUGAAGUCCCGACUCCUCAAAAUCUCAAUCUCGAUCUCUCUCCAUCGCAGGGUUUCGUAGGCUCCGAAGAAUCGAUGGAUGGAGAUUCUCUCGAGAUCCAGUGAAGAAGACGAGGACGAGUACUUAAGACGCGAGGGUUCCUCUCAAAGAGGGGAUUUUACGGUGAGAUUUGAUGGGAAGAAUGCGGAGCAGAAGCAGCAGCUGCUGACGCCGAGAUCGAAGCAUUCUGCAAUGGAGCAACGGAGGAGGAGCAAAAUUAAUGACAGGUCUGUGAUUUUGAUGGAUAAUGCUGGUUCUCCUUUUUUUAUUCGCUGAAGUCUGUGCUAGUGUCUUUAG